AAUCCUGUAGGUAUGCGGAGUCGA
This 24-nucleotide non-coding RNA is filed under the name Arabidopsis thaliana (thale cress). The record is from RNAcentral. Lineage: Eukaryota; Viridiplantae; Streptophyta; Magnoliopsida; Brassicales; Brassicaceae.